This 201-nucleotide unclassified non-coding RNA is filed under the name plant metagenome. Its description in RNAcentral is "partial contains small subunit ribosomal RNA and internal transcribed spacer 1". The stretch from base 1 to 46 matches the Rfam family "Eukaryotic small subunit ribosomal RNA", at positions 1786 to 1831 of the family's 1831-position model. The record is from RNAcentral.
AAGUCGUAACAAGGUCUCCGUUGGUGAACCAGCGGAGGGAUCAUUACAGAGUCUUAAAACACUCCCAACCCUUUGUAAACAUACCUAUUUCGUUGCUUCGGCAGGUGGCCCCAGGGAGGGGCUUUAGCUGCAAGGCACCUGCCGGAGAACACAAACUCUUUCUUUAGUGAUCUUCAGAGCAACAAAACAAAUAAGUUAAAA